CUUUUGUCUAUUUUUACUUUUAGCGGUGAACGAGUCAAACAAGCUUGAUACACGGGACACACACGAAUAUAACAAGGAACUUAAUAGAAUGUAUAGUAGUUAUUACAUGGGAAUGUGACACUAUUAGACACUUUUGGAAAAUGUUUUGAUUUUUUAGGCACUUCCAAGAGUUUAGGCACUUUACUUUAUUUUUGGUGAGAAAAUGGACAAAAUUACCCCUGCGAUAUUGACGUAAAUUAACUAACCUUCUUUUUUUAUUGUGGCUGAUUAUGUUCUUUUUAAU
This 283-nucleotide long non-coding RNA is filed under the name Arabidopsis thaliana (thale cress). RNAcentral describes it as "ncRNA (AT2G05812)". The record is from RNAcentral. Lineage: Eukaryota; Viridiplantae; Streptophyta; Magnoliopsida; Brassicales; Brassicaceae.